UCGUAAAGCUCUGUUGUUAAAGAAGAACACGUAUGAGAGUAACUGUUCAUACGUUGACGGUAUUUAACCAGAAAGUCACGGCUAACUACGUGCCAGCAGCCGCGGUAAUACGUAGGUGGCAAGCGUUAUCCGGAUUUAUUGGGCGUAAAGAGAGUGCAGGCGGUUUUCUAAGUCUGAUGUGAAAGCCUUCGGCUUAACCGGAGAAGUGCAUCGGAAACUGGAUAACUUGAGUGCAGAAGAGGGUAGUGGAACUCCAUGUGUAGCGGUGGAAUGCGUAGAUAUAUGGAAGAACACCAGUGGCGAAGGCGGCUACCUGGUCUGCAACUGACGCUGAGACUCGAAAGCAUGGGUAGCGAACAGGAUUAGAUACCCUGGUAGUCCAUGCCGUAAACGAUGAGUGCUAGGUGUUGGAGGGUUUCCGCCCUUCAGUGCCGGAGCUAACGCAUUAAGCACUCCGCCUGGGGAGUACGACCGCAAGGUUGAAACUCAAAGGAAUUGACGGGGGCCCGCACAAGCGGUGGAGCAUGUGGUUUAAUUCGAAGCUACGCGAAGAACCUUACCAGGUCUUGACAUCUUGCGCCAACCCUAGAGAUAGGGCGUUUCCUUCGGGAACGCAAUGACAGGUGGUGCAUGGUCGUCGUCAGCUCGUGUCGUGAGAUGUU
Molecule: ribosomal RNA, 662 nt
Filed under: Limosilactobacillus fermentum
Lineage: Bacteria; Bacillati; Bacillota; Bacilli; Lactobacillales; Lactobacillaceae
Description: bacterial SSU rRNA
Rfam family: Bacterial small subunit ribosomal RNA
Source: RNAcentral